RNAcentral lists this ribosomal RNA (497 nucleotides) under uncultured bacterium. Its description in RNAcentral is "partial 16S ribosomal RNA". It matches the Rfam family "Bacterial small subunit ribosomal RNA", at positions 28 to 507 of the family's 1533-position model. The record is from RNAcentral.
GAUGAACGCUGGCGGCGUGCCUAAUACAUGCAAGUCGAGCGAACAGACGAUGAGCUUGCUCCUCUGACGUUAGCGGCGGACGGGUGAGUAACACGUGGAUAACCUACCUAUAAUACGGGUAUAACUUCGGGAAACCGGAUCUAAUACCGGAGAAUAUAUUGAACCACAUGGUUCAAUAGUGAAAUACGGUUGUGCUGUCACUUAUAGAGGGAUCCGCGCCGCAUUAGCUAGUUGGUAGGGUAACGGGUUACCAAGGCAACGAUGCGUAGCCGACGUGAGGGGGUGAUCGCCGACACUGGAACUGAGCCACGGUCCAGACUCCUACGGGAGGCAGCAGUAGGGUAUCUUACGCAAUGGGCGAAAGUUUGACGGAGCAACGCCGCGUGAGUGAUGACGGUCUUCGGAUCGUAAUACUCUCUUACUAGUGAAGAACAAAUGUGUACGUAAAUAUGCCCGUCUUGACGGUAACUAAUCAGAAAGCAACGGCUAACUACGUG